Molecule: long non-coding RNA, 1485 nt
Organism: Papaver somniferum (opium poppy)
Lineage: Eukaryota; Viridiplantae; Streptophyta; Magnoliopsida; Ranunculales; Papaveraceae
Exons: 3
Source: RefSeq, a predicted model, not a curated record
AAAAGAUCUUCUUAUGCCCAUAAUAUUUCAAUUUCUCCAUGUGUAAAAUCUUUCUACCAAAGAAGAUCUCUUUAUCAUCCACUGGAUAUUGAAAAGACGACUUCGAAUAUGGUCAAAUUGAAGUUGAUUCUACGAACCAAAUACCGAUAAAUAGACAUUUUUUGUAUCCAACUGCACAAAUCAUUUUAAGGUAUUAUAUUAUAAUGUGAAUAAUUAUAGAGGCGAUCCAACUGGUAGAUUAGGUUCUUUGUUUUUCUUAUUUUGAUUUAACAAAAAUGACGUUUCAAACAUUUAUAAAUUAGUCUUACUUUGUUGUCCUUCGUUUACUUUGGCACUUUUGGAUUUACAAUCUUUGGUCCAUUUUUGUUGUAUUGGUAAGUUGAAGUCUUUUGGUUGUUUUUCUUUUGUUGUAUUUGUUGUUCUGGUGGGUAUGUGAUGAUUUUAGUCCUUUUUUUAAUUGACUUAGAUCUGUUAGCAGUCUAAUUAAUUUCUGAAUUUUAGGUUAGUUUAUAAAAUGUUUUAAAUUCUUGCCUUUGCAUUUUGCUCUAUUAUCAUUCCAAUUUUUCAAAUUUGCAAGUUCCUCGAAACUUUUUCGGAAAUGAAAUCCCACCUAAAGCAAGGGAGAAGGGACACAGGUUGGUUUUCUCUGUCGAGGUAAAUACCAAUAUUUGGUUAUAUACAUUGAGGUUUGGUAAAAAUCUUUUCAUUACGUAUUAAUUCCGGAUGAAUUUAGCACUGCUAGAGUCCAUUGUAGCAAUGUUCACGAAGUAUAAUAUAGGAUAUCGUUAUUAUUAACAUGUUAUUUAGGGUGUUUGCGCAAGGUCAUAUUCGUUUGCCAGAUAUAUGUAAGGUCGGGUGAAAGGUUUAUUCGCGUUUCUGUACUGUUGGUCUCACCACAAGCUACUUUUGGACCCUUAAUACCAAUAUUUGAGCUUGGAUGAAGUAUAAAAGUUCAGUAUUUUUUUCCAGGGGCCUACUAUAUGUUCAGUUCGUACAAUUCUCAAUAAGUUUUAAGCUCAGUUUUGUAUAACAUCACAGAGGUUGGGGAAAAUGUAAAUUAUCAAUUAUGUGAAUGCUUUGACAGAAGGUCUACAGAUGUUGACAGGAACAAGGAGUUUGUAGUAUUGUGAACUAUUGGAACUCAUGCUUUUGUAAAUAAUUUUUUUCGUUUGAUCGUUGGCAUGUUGAUAUCAAUGAAAGAUUUUCCUAACAACAAUCCACUUAUACAAAUAUCGGCAAUCAUUCUAGGUAUGGAAUGGGUUAUCUUAAAUAGUUGGUUAGACAUAGGUUAAAUUUGGCCUCAUGUAGUCAUCAAGUAUUAAUGUUCCUUUCAAGGUUAUGUACAAAAUGGUGUGUGUACAUGUAUUCUCUUUGAUUUCUGAAGUAAGUUGGAUGUUAAUCCUAUAUUUUUGUAUGUAUAAGCAAAAUUGAAAAAGCGUGUAUGGAACCGCGACAUGUUGGAUUUUGGGAACAUGAACACCAACA